CCUACGGGAGGCAGCAGUGAGGAAUAUUGGUCAAUGGUCGGGAGACUGAACCAGCCAAGCCGCGUGAGGGAUGAAGGUACAGAGUAUCGUAAACCUCUUUUGUCAGGUAACCAAGGCGGGGCCGCGUCCCCGGAUGAGUGUACCUGAAGCAACAUCAUCUGCUAACUCCGUGCCAGCAGCCGCGGUAAUACGGAGGAUGCUAUCGUUAUCCGGAUUUAUGGGGUUAAAAGGGUGCGCAGGCGGUCUGUUAAGUCAGCGGUCAAAGCCCGGGGCUCAACCCCGGCCCGCCGGUGAAACUGGCAGUAUCGAGGUGGAGAGAAGUAUGCGGAAGGCGCGGUGUAGCGGUGAAAUGCAUAGAUAGCGCGCAGAAAUCCGAUUGCGAAGGCAGCAUGCCGGCUCCACACUGACGCUGAGGCACGAAAGCGUGGGUAUCGAACAGGAUUAGAGA
RNAcentral lists this ribosomal RNA (448 nucleotides) under uncultured bacterium. Its description in RNAcentral is "partial 16S ribosomal RNA". It matches the Rfam family "Bacterial small subunit ribosomal RNA", at positions 338 to 784 of the family's 1533-position model. The record is from RNAcentral.